UGUCAUUCUUAACAGGGAAAUCAGCCAGCCCUCCUGCGUGUGUGCUGGGAUCGCAUCAUCUUGGAUGAAGCCCAUGACAUCAAGAAUCAUAAGACCGAGACAGCCAUCUUGAUCUCUAAGCUAGAGGCCCGUGCACGAUGGGCUGUCAUAGCUUACCCGAUCCAGAACAACACCCUAGAAAUGUUCUCAUUUUUCAGAUUCUUGAGAUUUACACCCUAUGCUGAAUAUCCGGUGUGGAAGAAACUAGUAACAAAUACAGAGAAACUUCAUACACUGGUCAAGGGUAUCUUAUGGAGAACCAAGGACCAACAGACAAGCAAUGGGAAUCCAAUCGUGAGUAGUAACGACUCCAAAAAUAUCAAUCAUCCUUGAAUUGUACGCAUUUUCAUUGUUUUAU
This is a long non-coding RNA of Strongylocentrotus purpuratus (purple sea urchin), 397 nucleotides long. RefSeq lists it as uncharacterized. The transcript is spliced from 3 exons. The record is from RefSeq and is a predicted model, not a curated record. Lineage: Eukaryota; Metazoa; Echinodermata; Echinoidea; Camarodonta; Strongylocentrotidae.